GGGGAAUAUUGGACAAUGGGCGCAAGCCUGAUCCAGCAAUGCCGCGUGUGUGAAGAAGGCCUGCGGGUUGUAAAGCACUUUUGUUCGGGAAGAAAUCAUGCUGGUUAAUACCUGGUAUGGAUGACGGUACCGAAAGAAUAAGCACCGGCUAACUUCGUGCCAGCAGCCGCGGUAAUACGAAGGGUGCAAGCGUUAAUCGGAAUUACUGGGCGUAAAGGGUGCGUAGGCGGCCUUUUAAGUCGGAUGUGAAAUCCCCGGGCUCAACCUGGGAAUGGCAUUCGAUACUGGGAGGCUAGAGUUUGGGAGAGGGUGGUGGAAUUCCCGGUGUAGCGGUGAAAUGCGUAGAGAUCGGGAGGAACAUCAGUGGCGAAGGCGGCCACCUGGCCUAAAACUGACGCUGAGGCACGAAAGCGUGGGGAGCAAAC
Molecule: ribosomal RNA, 425 nt
Filed under: uncultured bacterium
Lineage: Bacteria
Description: bacterial SSU rRNA
Rfam family: Bacterial small subunit ribosomal RNA
Source: RNAcentral